RNAcentral lists this ribosomal RNA (329 nucleotides) under uncultured eukaryote. RNAcentral describes it as "partial 18S ribosomal RNA". It matches the Rfam family "Eukaryotic small subunit ribosomal RNA", at positions 1470 to 1796 of the family's 1831-position model. The record is from RNAcentral.
CCCUUAGAUGUUCUGGGCCGCACGCGCGCUACACUGACGAUGGCAACGAGUUUUUCCUUCGCCGAAAGGUGUGGGUAAUCUUUUGAAACAUCGUCGUGCUGGGGAUAGAUCAUUGCAAUUUUUGAUCUUGAACGAGGAAUUCCUAGUAAGCGCGGGUCAUCAGCUCGCGUUGAUUACGUCCCUGCCCUUUGUACACACCGCCCGUCGCUACUACCGAUUGAAUGGUUUAGUGAGGACUCCUGAUUGGCGCCGCCGCCCCGGCAACGGAGCAGCGGACUGCCGAAAAGUUGUUCAAACUUGAUCAUUUAGAGGAAGUAAAAGUCGUAACA